RNAcentral lists this transfer RNA (72 nucleotides) under Camelus bactrianus (Bactrian camel). It matches the Rfam family "tRNA". Rfam says of the family: Transfer RNA (tRNA) molecules are approximately 80 nucleotides in length. Their secondary structure includes four short double-helical elements and three loops (D, anti-codon, and T loops). The record is from Rfam by way of RNAcentral. RNAcentral also lists the same sequence under 2 other names. Lineage: Eukaryota; Metazoa; Chordata; Mammalia; Artiodactyla; Camelidae.
GAGGGUAUAGCUCAGUGGUAGAGCGCAUGCUCAACACGCAUGAGGCCCUGAGUUCAAUUCCCAGUACCUCCU